CCAGACUCCUACGGGAGGCAGCAGUGAGGAAUAUUGGUCAAUGGCCGGAAGGCUGAACCAGCCAAGCCGCGUGAAGGAUGAAGGUGCCAAGCAUUGUAAACUUCUUUUGUCAAGGGACAAAAUCAGGCUCGAGAGCCUGACCGAGGGUACUUGAAGAAAAAGCAUCGGCUAACUCCGUGCCAGCAGCCGCGGUAAUACGGAGGAUGCGAGCGUUAUCCGGAUUUAUUGGGUUUAAAGGGUGCGUAGGCGGGUUGUUAAGUCAGGGGUAAAACCCGGGGGCUCACCCCCGGCGAGCCGUUGAAACUGGCUGUCUUGAGAUGUCGAGAGGUAUGCGGAAUGCGCAGUGUAGCGGUGAAAUGCUUAGAUAUUGCGCAGAACUCCGAUUGCGAAGGCAGCAUACCGGCGCUCAACUGACGCUCAUGCACGAGAGCGUGGGUAUCGAACAGGAUUAGAUACCCCCGUA
Molecule: ribosomal RNA, 463 nt
Filed under: uncultured bacterium
Lineage: Bacteria
Description: bacterial SSU rRNA
Rfam family: Bacterial small subunit ribosomal RNA
Source: RNAcentral